Grus americana (Whooping crane) is the source of this 3661-nucleotide long non-coding RNA. RefSeq lists it as uncharacterized. Lineage: Eukaryota; Metazoa; Chordata; Aves; Gruiformes; Gruidae. The record is from RefSeq and is a predicted model, not a curated record. The transcript has 3 exons.
UAGAAAGGCAACAACAAAAUUUAAGGACCGCACUGAAGAUGAGCAGGGAAAAAAAAUACCCAUCACCAAACAAACAAAGAAAGGACACAUACUCUCAGAUUUUAACUGUUUCCCAGUGGCAAACAGGGUUUGGGAGCACUUGAGUAACCCCAACCACAGUGAACUAAGAGUCCUCCAUGGAGCCCGCCACCGGUCCCCCAGCUGCAGGAAGGACAGCACUUUGCCGCAGCAGCUCACAGGCCUACAGUGAGCUCAGAACAGGACAAAGUCCAAAACUAACAUGCAGCACAUACUGGGAGGGUUUAGCGUGAGGCAUUAUCCACUACAAAUUGCUGUAUGGGCCACAGAUGGACAGUGAGAUAGCUUGGCCCCAAGAGUCAUUACCCUGGAAAGCAAAAGGGUAGAGUGAUGCAACUGCUAGCAUGAGCCAGAACAGGAGGGAAUACAAAGGGAGUUAUCUGGGCUCCUCAUCCUGAUGUAAAAGUGCAGGUGAGUCUUACUGUAUUUAAUGCACUUUUCUUCUUUAAAGCCCCACCCCCUGGUGUGACGUGGCUGCAAGAAUCUCAAGUUUUGGUUUAAGACUUAUGUUUGGAAAAGUCUUAAACUCAAUUCAAAAGACAGAUCCAAAAAGAAUCUGAAAUUUUCUGGUUUUCCACUGCUGUGAUUUAGAAAAGAAGUGGCUAACAGGUGAUUUUCUAAGUGUAGAUACACACAGUAAUAGCAAGAAUUACUUUAAAAGCUCCCUAAGAGCCAUCAUCUGAAAGAGCAAGCUUCUGGAGCAAUGACAGCCCACAGCUGCUUUGACACUUGCAGCAUCUGCAAAGACUUUACAGCCUCUCUGAAUCCACCUGUACUUAAUGUUACAUAUUUAAAAUAUUAUAUUUUUAAAGAAUCUUUUAAAAACCCUCAAAAAGUCCUUCAAAUAGAAAGAUCUCUUCAGAUAAAAAAAUACAUCGCCAGACUUUGAUCAAGCAACGAUGGCUUAAAAAGCCCCACACUACUUACUACUCAUGUAUUUUAGAAACCCCAUAUCUUUGCUGCAGCGGCUGAAUCAUAGAAUUAUAGAAUCGUAGAAUCGUUAAGGUUGGAAAAGACCUCUAAGAUCAUCAAGUCCAACUGUCAACUAGGCAUGUUCCUAGAAAAGGAUGUCCUUUACUACAUUUCAGUGCUUGGGAUCAAUUAGCCAGGCUAAGAAAAAGCUUGCUAAGCAGUCCUCAAAGCACCCCAGGAGCUGGAUAUCGAGUUAUGCACCCAGCUAAAACAAAAAUAGGGCACAGAGGGACAUGUGCGUCUCCCAGGCUCUGACUAUUUGCUGCUAAAGGCGCAGCUGGACAUUGCAUGGUAACUUUUCAGCAAGCUCACACAGUCAAUGAGAUUCCUAUCCUCAAGAAGCUGGACAGAGUUAAAUAAAUAACGCGGGGGUCUAGAGCAGAAGGCACUUGUUAAAGCAGUGAACGGUGAAGAGGAAAAAUACUUGCUGUACCCUGUGUUAGACUUUUUCAGUGUGAUAUCAGGCCAGAGCUGCAUCUACCCACAUAAUUUUAAUUAAACGCCUUCUCCAUGUUCAUUAUCAAGCCAUCUCCAGCAGCAGAAUAACAUGCAUCUUUUCCUUCAGAAGGCUUCAGAGAUUAAUCAAGGCUACAGCACGAUGGAGGGCUUGUGUUGGUGUGCUGCCUACCUCACCGGGUGAUGGGGCUGAAGCCAAGCAGAGAAGCUCACCGCGAUAACAAGCAAAAAAGCAGCUGUGCCCCAUGGUACUCGCCUACAGCUGGCCAAGUCAGCUGGCUGAGUCUCUUCUGUUGUGCCCAUUGACCUGGGUGCAUCAUUUUCCAUCUGCCCGACGGAAGAUAAGGGCCCCAGUGCCUUCAGGAAAGUGUUUCAGAGCCCUGCCCGCUUCAGCUGAGCUCAGCCUGCGCCAUGUGUGCUCAGAGCAUCUGAAGCGGCCAGACACCACCAACAGGCUGCCAGCAUCACCAGGCCCCCAAAUAUUUGUGCACUCACAUCAGCGUGGCUGACAGCCCACAGACAGGGAGGUAAUUACUGCCUUAACUGUGGCACUUCCUAACUUCUGAGUGCUUAAUUCUGCACCUUUAAAAAGAAAUAAACAAACAGCCCAUGAUUUAACAACUAUUUGUACUAAGCCCUUGGCCUUCAAACAACUCUGUUGUUCACCAAGUUGAGGAUGUGAUGAUCUCCUCCCUGCAGCUGUAGGUUAUGAUAACUGGAACUAUUCAGCUUUCAAGUGCAGGUCACAAGACAUCCAAUUUCCUCCUGGGGAGCAAGGGUCUUAGCGUAACACCUCACGUCCCUUUAGUUUUCCUUUCCCUGGGACUGGAAAGCCAGACAUCCAUCACACCACCCCUGACAGCUCCAGAGCGUGCCCUGGCUUCACCCAGCCCCGGGAAGCGGGACUCUGAAAUUCAAAGUCUGAGACAGCAAAACAGCUCCACCUCACGCAACCGAGAUGCAGAGCACCGUGCAACCUGUCCUCCUUCAUCGGCAUAAAUUUUUCCAUACGCAGAGUCAGAUGUGCUUUUCUGACAGCACUGUAAGAGCUUGCUGCUCCUCAGAGCAUUGAAGCAGUAGAUAAAAAUCACCUGGUUUACUCUGCAUUGGAGUGAAAGAGGAGCACCCAGCAGAGCCUGUCAACAUGCUGGUGCUGGAGAGGUAAUCGCUUCUUAGAGUGCACAAACUCAACCAGAAAAGUACCUUUCAAUACAGUACCUCUGGAGACUUAAAUUUAAAAAGUUAAGCUUUUCUUUUCAUCAUUGCUAACCAGCAAUGCCAAACAACAGGGAUAUCUACAAGAAAACAUAUUGAUUAGACACUCCUGUUUAAAACCCCUGUGCAUCUUCAGUGUGUCAGAAAAUGCAGUGAGACACUACAAACAACAAUAAAAAAACCUGAUAGAGUCAAGUAUGCACAACAGGAUGAUGGAAUUUUAAUUAAGUGUGUGGGGGCACCACAGGUCUGAGCUUUCCAGAUUCUAGCCUUGCAGGUGUUCCUGGUGAACGUUCCUGGACAUAUUCUUAAAUGUACACCUGCCGUACUUUCCGCACAGGCUCUGUCCACCAUAGUUAAACAUGAACAUGAAAAUCAGGCAGUCCUUCAACCCUCAGAAAAUGCAGUUUGCACCUUUUCAGGAAAGCAGAGCUGCAGAGUAAGAUACCAGACCAGGAAGCCCAGACUUUCAGGAUUGCCUGGAGAUGGAAAGAGCAAAAGAUGAAAACAUGACAGAGGGUGGUGCAUCGAAAUGGAAAGCAAUACGGUUGAAGCAUGGGGCAAGACUACAGUCAGCAAUCUGGGCUAGCCUGAAAGCAAUGCAAUGUGUGAGUGACUGUGGUCUAAGGACAGCAUUUAGAGUGAGGAUCAGGAAGGUGCCACAUCCAUGCAAUGCAAGGAGGAUGCAGCAGAGCUGGACAUGCGUGACUUGAAGUGACACAGAGAAAGCAAGCAAGGUGGAAGAGCAAAGGACAACCUAGAAGAGCAGCAUGCAGACCACAAAGGGCAUUCCUGGAAGGCUCUCCAGGCAGAGAUGGCCGUGUUUCAGCAUGUGCAAUUGCAGAACACGUGGCUGAAACAACUCCGCUGCAGAGAAGUGCUGGGACUCCCUCCACCAACGUGUCCUACAAAUCCCUGCUGUCACAUUGAGGUGGCCCAG